CAGUAGCCGCGGUAAUACGUAGGUGGCAAGCGCUGUCCGGAAUUAUUGGGCGUAAAGGGCUCGCAGGCGGUUUCUUAAGUCUGAUGUGAAAGCCCCCGGCUCAACCGGGGAGGGUCAUUGGAAACUGGGAAACUUGAGUGCAGAAGAGGAGAGUGGAAUUCCACGUGUAGCGGUGAAAUGCGUAGAGAUGUGGAGGAACACCAGUGGCGAAGGCGACUCUCUGGUCUGCAACUGACGCUGAGGAGCGAAAGCGUGGGGAGCGAACAGGAUUAGAUACCCCCGUAGUCCCUGUCUCUUAUAC
RNAcentral lists this ribosomal RNA (301 nucleotides) under uncultured bacterium. RNAcentral describes it as "partial 16S ribosomal RNA". It matches the Rfam family "Bacterial small subunit ribosomal RNA", at positions 509 to 807 of the family's 1533-position model. The record is from RNAcentral.